CUAGAAAGAACAUCGAACAAUCAAGAGCUGGAUGAUUGGAUUGGCUAUUUUAAAUGACUGCAUCUUUGGUUGUGACAGAUUUGGGGAUAGAUUGCAUCUUCCCGGCCUCACUAAGUGGGUUGAAUAGGUUGAGCUUUUUGUGGAAAGCAACCCCCUACCCCCUUGAGGAAAAAAAAAAAAAGCAACAUAAAACAAAUGAAGCUAUCACUCCGAAGUAUGCACUGUCCACUACUUUAACAGCCAAUUAAUUUGCUACGUACAUAAGAGCUGUAGGAGUUAAAAAUAUUUUUCCAGGACAGUGAUUUCUCUGCUUUACCGUAUCAACAACGAAUAAUGAUAAUUUGGUGGUACUGUGAUAGUUUUUAAUUUAACAUAUAAAUAGUGUGACGUGUUACUAAAGCCAUUACCCUAAUUCAGCAUAGUUAUUUGUAUAGGUUCUUGUGGUUUUAGCUGAUCUGUUAAGGAGGCAUUCCAAGGAGAAUGAAAGGGCGGUAUGAAGAAGCGAAGAUCUACCAUAUGUAAGCAAUACUGCAGAUUUCUCUUCUCUUCCACAGGUUCUGACAUUUGUGGCUUAGGUGAAGGCAAACGUCGCAAGAGAAAGACACGAUGGGGCAGCAGGCAGCUCUUGUGUCAAUGGCAUGGAAGUGGAUCUGCAAAGCUUCACCACUCGAGGAGAUCUAGAAGCAUGGAUCUGCCUUGGGAUUUUGCAAGCAAACAGCCUUUGUAGCGAGAGAGCUCUCAACACAGGAAAAUUCUAAACCAAAAAGGCAGUGGCAAGCCAAAGAGAGAGAAGAGAAAAUCUACACAUGGUUUCAAGUUUUCCCACUGUCUAUAAUAUGACUUGUUAAUACAUAUGAGAAACUGCACAAUGCAGUACCUUCAUCAAGAGCGGACUUGAGGCGAAUUAAGACCAUAUGACCAUGCGAGACUGAGAGAGAUAUAUGAUCUUUGUAGCCACAAUAAAAAGUAGAGGAGUAAUUUAAAAAUCAACUUAUUAUUGAGAAGAUUGCACAGAAGAAUUAAUCACUAAAACCCAAGGAGAGCUGUGACUGGGAGUAUGCAAAUGGUCAGAAUUACUCUUCUAGCCAUUAGUCCUAGGCAGAGAUCUUCUCCCAGAUGUUGAAAGGCAAGGAAUCAUGCACAGACAUUUUUUUCUUCUUUUUUUAAUAGAAGUCAUGGAAGAAAAAUCCAAAUUUAUUUUGUUUUCCCAGCGUAUUUUUUUUUCUGCGUGUGUGUGUGUGUGGUUGUCUGUGGAGUUUUGUGUUUGCUUUGCACUUCAAGCAAGCUCUCUGCUUUUCCGGAGAAUAAAUACUGAGAGGGAAGAAUGAAGGAAGGACUUUACCAAAAAUGUGCAUUCGGGAGAAGAUCUUUCUUGGGGACCUCAAAUAUCAGCACAGAGCAGGGAAUUGCUAGCGAGAUGACAGGCGGAUAAAACACUCCUCUACCUCCUUCAGAGCUUAAAACUUCCCAGAUCUACUUAUCUCUCAUUAAAGAACACUGCAGCCUCCUUGCUUUCAUUAGCUCAUUAUACAAAAGCGAGGUAAGCAACCUCAUAGCAAUGAGUCAGAUACUGUUUUUAGUCGUAUCUGCCUGUCUCUUCAUUGGACAUACGUCUUCCUCACACAAGCUGUUUCAAAACCUGAGACAGGAGCUACACAGUCUUCUUAUCGCUGACCGAUCAGACACUUCUGCAGCAUUUCAUCGUGCGGAAUUACUGUGCAGGAUUACAGUAAUAUAUUAUCCCCUUUCCUGAACAUCUUGUGUGUAAGCAGAAUAAAUUGCUUUUUAUACUUUAAGGGGAAAAGGAGAAAGCGAAGAAAGACAUAAGCAGACUAACAGAUGGGCACUGCAAACACGGCUCGGUACGCGCAUGUAAUUGUGCUUUUUUAGCUUGAUAAAAAGUAUUUUCUAUAUGAAACUUCCAGUUUACUGGCUAUCUAAUUACAUUGUAAGCCAUGGGGAAAAAAAUAAAAAUCACCCCGAUAAAAAGUUAAAGACAAAAUAUUCUAAAUAGCUUCCAGAGGAGAACUUGAUCGCUAACAGCGUGUGUGCUGCAGGCCAAAAUGUUCUUGGCUUCCUAAAAAAUAAAAUUCCAGGUUAAAGUCUCUGCAUGACUAUUAUACUUCGACUCAUUCCAUUGAGGCUGAGAUUAUAGAGACAAAAAAAAUGUAUUUUUGCGACUUGUUGUGCCAGUAUAAACAAAUACAAGUUCUUUCUUUAGUCAUUUGUAAGCUUAUUUGGAGGAACUCUAGAGAUGGGGAAAAUGAUUGAAUGCAGUAAUGUCAGAGAGGAGAAGGGGAAAAUGAAGAUAAAAAUGAAAUAUAAUAGAUGGAAAUGAUGAGAGCCAAGAUGGGAGGGGAGUAAAGACUGGAAAGAGUCUAAAUCUAUUGGGAAGUACUGGUAUGGUGAUUGGCUUUGCCUGUUGGAUGAGGACAGCUGGGGCAAACCUGGAGAGAUCCAGGUAUGGCUGCAAAGCAUACCCUAAGAUUCAUUAAUAUGACUUGCCAAGAACUGAAUGUGGCAGUCAUGCUAAUUACGUUACCUGUAACUAAAAUAUCUUUAAUUAUUUAAAAAAAAAUAUUAAAGUUAUGUCAAUGCAAUCUUCAAAAGUGAGACCUG
Molecule: long non-coding RNA, 2619 nt
Organism: Gallus gallus (chicken)
Lineage: Eukaryota; Metazoa; Chordata; Aves; Galliformes; Phasianidae
Source: Ensembl